Molecule: ribosomal RNA, 253 nt
Filed under: uncultured bacterium
Lineage: Bacteria
Description: partial 16S ribosomal RNA
Rfam family: Bacterial small subunit ribosomal RNA
Source: RNAcentral
UACGUAGGGGGCAAGCGUUGUCCGGAAUCAUUGGGCGUAAAGAGCGUGUAGGCGGCCCGAUAAGUCCGCUGUGAAAGUCCAGGGCUCAACCCUGGGAUGCCGGUGGAUACUGUCGGGCUCGAGUCCGGAAGAGGAGUGUGGAAUUCCUGGUGUAGCGGUGAAAUGCGCAGAUAUCAGGAGGAACACCGAUGGCGAAGGCAGGUCUCUGGGCCAUAACUGACGCUGAGAAGCGAAAGCGUGGGGAGCGAACAGG